This 68-nucleotide transfer RNA is filed under the name Margattea multipunctata. RNAcentral's name for it is "tRNA-Met". The record is from RNAcentral. Lineage: Eukaryota; Metazoa; Arthropoda; Insecta; Blattodea; Pseudophyllodromiidae.
AGACAAGUAAGCUAAAACUCAAGCUAUCGGGCUCAUACCCCGUUUAUAGAGAUAAUCUCUCUUCUCUA